UACGUAGGGUGCAAGCGUUGUUCGGAAUUACUGGGCGUAAAGGGCGCGUAGGCGGGUGUGAAAGUCGAUUGUGAAAGCCCCAGGCUCAACCUGGGAAUUGCAGUCGAAACUCCACAUCUUGAGUGCUUGAGAGGAUGGUGGAAUUCCUGGUGUAGAAGUGAAAUUCGUAGAUAUCAGGAGGAACACCGGAGGCGAAGGCGGCCAUCUGGCAAGACACCGACGCUGGGGCGCGAAAGUGCGGGGAG
Molecule: ribosomal RNA, 245 nt
Filed under: uncultured bacterium
Lineage: Bacteria
Description: partial 16S ribosomal RNA
Rfam family: Bacterial small subunit ribosomal RNA
Source: RNAcentral